This 297-nucleotide signal recognition particle RNA is filed under the name Saimiri boliviensis boliviensis (Bolivian squirrel monkey). RNAcentral describes it as "Metazoan signal recognition particle RNA (ENSSBOG00000012466.1)". It matches the Rfam family "Metazoan signal recognition particle RNA". Rfam says of the family: The signal recognition particle (SRP) is a universally conserved ribonucleoprotein. Lineage: Eukaryota; Metazoa; Chordata; Mammalia; Primates; Cebidae. The record is from RNAcentral.
GCCGGGUGUGGUGGCGCAUGCCUGUAAUCCCAGCUACUCGGGAGGCUGAGGUGGGAGGAUCGCUUGAGCCCAGGAGUUCUGGGUUGUAGUGCAUUAUGCUGGGUGUCCACAUUAAGUUUGGCAUCAAUAUGGUGACCUCCCGGGAGUGGGGGACCCCCAGCUUGCCUAAGGAAGGGUGAACCGGCCCAGGUCAGAAACAGAGCAGGUCAAAACUCCUGUGCUGAUCAGUAGUGGGAUCGCAGGCCUGUGAAUAGCCACUGCACUCUAGCCUAGGCAACAUAGCGAGACACCGUCUCU